GGCGGAUGUAGCCAAGUGGAUUAAAGCAGUGGAUUGUGAAUCUACCAUGUGCGGGUUCAAUUCCUGUUGUUCGCC
This 75-nucleotide transfer RNA is filed under the name Yoania squamipes. RNAcentral's name for it is "tRNA-His". It matches the Rfam family "tRNA". From Rfam's summary of the family: Transfer RNA (tRNA) molecules are approximately 80 nucleotides in length. Their secondary structure includes four short double-helical elements and three loops (D, anti-codon, and T loops). Further hydrogen bonds mediate the characteristic L-shaped molecular structure. tRNAs have two regions of fundamental functional importance: the anti-codon, which is responsible for specific mRNA codon recognition, and the 3' end, to which the tRNAs corresponding amino acid is attached (by aminoacyl-tRNA synthetases). tRNAs cope with the degeneracy of the genetic code in two manners: having more than one tRNA (with a specific anti-codon) for a particular amino acid; and 'wobble' base-pairing, i.e. permitting non-standard base-pairing at the 3rd anti-codon position. The record is from RNAcentral. Lineage: Eukaryota; Viridiplantae; Streptophyta; Magnoliopsida; Asparagales; Orchidaceae.